RNAcentral lists this ribosomal RNA (450 nucleotides) under uncultured bacterium. Its description in RNAcentral is "partial 16S ribosomal RNA". It matches the Rfam family "Bacterial small subunit ribosomal RNA", at positions 338 to 795 of the family's 1533-position model. The record is from RNAcentral.
CCUACGGGAGGCUGCAGUGGGGAAUUUUGGACAAUGGGCGCAAGCCUGAUCCAGCCAUGCCGCGUGAGUGAAGAAGGCCUUCGGGUUGUAAAGCUCUUUCGGCCGGAACGAAAUCGUCCGGGCUAAUACCUCGGAUGGAUGACGGUACUGGAAGAAGAAGCACCGGCUAACUACGUGCCAGCAGCCGCGGUAAUACGUAGGGUGCAGGCGUUAAUCGGAAUGACUGCACGUAAAGCCCUAGGUCAGAUGUGAAAGCCCCGGGCUUAACCUGGGAACUGCGUUUGAAACUGGGAGGCUGGAGUGCGGCAGAGGGGGGUGGAAUUCCACGUGUAGCAGUGAAAUGCGUAGAUAUGUGGAGGAACACCGAUGGCGAAGGCAGCCCCCUGGGCCUGCACUGACGCUCAUGCACGAAAGCGUGGGGAGCAAACAGGAUUAGAUACCCUUGUAGUC